Molecule: ribosomal RNA, 2892 nt
Filed under: Pseudomonas sp. B21-017
Lineage: Bacteria; Pseudomonadati; Pseudomonadota; Gammaproteobacteria; Pseudomonadales; Pseudomonadaceae
Description: 23S ribosomal RNA
Rfam family: Bacterial large subunit ribosomal RNA
Source: RNAcentral
GGUCAAGUGAAGAAGCGCAUACGGUGGAUGCCUUGGCAGUCAGAGGCGAUGAAAGACGUGGUAGCCUGCGAAAAGCUUCGGGGAGUCGGCAAACAGACUUUGAUCCGGAGAUGUCUGAAUGGGGGAACCCAGCCAUCAUAAGAUGGUUAUCUUGUACUGAAUACAUAGGUGCAAGAGGCGAACCAGGGGAACUGAAACAUCUAAGUACCCUGAGGAAAAGAAAUCAACCGAGAUUCCCUUAGUAGUGGCGAGCGAACGGGGACUAGCCCUUAAGUGGCUUUGAGAUUAGCGGAACGCUCUGGAAAGUGCGGCCAUAGUGGGUGAUAGCCCUGUACGCGAAAAUCUCUUAGUCAUGAAAUCGAGUAGGACGGAGCACGAGAAACUUUGUCUGAAUAUGGGGGGACCAUCCUCCAAGGCUAAAUACUACUGACUGACCGAUAGUGAACUAGUACCGUGAGGGAAAGGCGAAAAGAACCCCGGAGAGGGGAGUGAAAUAGAUCCUGAAACCGUAUGCGUACAAGCAGUGGGAGCCCACUUUGUUGGGUGACUGCGUACCUUUUGUAUAAUGGGUCAGCGACUUAUUUUCAGUGGCGAGCUUAACCGAAUAGGGGAGGCGUAGCGAAAGCGAGUCUUAAUAGGGCGUCUAGUCGCUGGGAAUAGACCCGAAACCGGGCGAUCUAUCCAUGGGCAGGUUGAAGGUUAGGUAACACUGACUGGAGGACCGAACCGACUACCGUUGAAAAGUUAGCGGAUGACCUGUGGAUCGGAGUGAAAGGCUAAUCAAGCUCGGAGAUAGCUGGUUCUCCUCGAAAGCUAUUUAGGUAGCGCCUCAUGUAUCACUGUAGGGGGUAGAGCACUGUUUCGGCUAGGGGGUCAUCCCGACUUACCAAACCGAUGCAAACUCCGAAUACCUACAAGUGCCGAGCAUGGGAGACACACGGCGGGUGCUAACGUCCGUCGUGAAAAGGGAAACAACCCAGACCGUCAGCUAAGGUCCCAAAGUUAUGGUUAAGUGGGAAACGAUGUGGGAAGGCUUAGACAGCUAGGAGGUUGGCUUAGAAGCAGCCACCCUUUAAAGAAAGCGUAAUAGCUCACUAGUCGAGUCGGCCUGCGCGGAAGAUGUAACGGGGCUCAAACCAUACACCGAAGCUACGGGUAUCACUUAGGUGAUGCGGUAGAGGAGCGUUCUGUAAGCCUGUGAAGGUGAGUUGAGAAGCUUGCUGGAGGUAUCAGAAGUGCGAAUGCUGACAUGAGUAACGACAAUGGGUGUGAAAAACACCCACGCCGAAAGACCAAGGUUUCCUGCGCAACGUUAAUCGACGCAGGGUUAGUCGGUCCCUAAGGCGAGGCUGAAAAGCGUAGUCGAUGGAAAACAGGUUAAUAUUCCUGUACUUCUGGUUAUUGCGAUGGAGGGACGGAGAAGGCUAGGCCAGCUUGGCGUUGGUUGUCCAAGUUUAAGGUGGUAGGCUGGAAUCUUAGGUAAAUCCGGGAUUCUAAGGCCGAGAGCUGAUGACGAGUGUUCUUUUAGAACACGAAGUGGUUGAUGCCAUGCUUCCAAGAAAAGCUUCUAAGCUUCAGGUAACCAGGAACCGUACCCCAAACCGACACAGGUGGUUGGGUAGAGAAUACCAAGGCGCUUGAGAGAACUCGGGUGAAGGAACUAGGCAAAAUGGCACCGUAACUUCGGGAGAAGGUGCGCCGGUGAGGGUGAAGCACUUGCUGCGUAAGCCCACGCCGGUCGAAGAUACCAGGCCGCUGCGACUGUUUAUUAAAAACACAGCACUCUGCAAACACGAAAGUGGACGUAUAGGGUGUGACGCCUGCCCGGUGCCGGAAGGUUAAUUGAUGGGGUUAGCUAACGCGAAGCUCUUGAUCGAAGCCCCGGUAAACGGCGGCCGUAACUAUAACGGUCCUAAGGUAGCGAAAUUCCUUGUCGGGUAAGUUCCGACCUGCACGAAUGGCGUAACGAUGGCGGCGCUGUCUCCACCCGAGACUCAGUGAAAUUGAAAUCGCUGUGAAGAUGCAGUGUAUCCGCGGCUAGACGGAAAGACCCCGUGAACCUUUACUAUAGCUUUGCACUGGACUUUGAAUUUGCUUGUGUAGGAUAGGUGGGAGGCUUUGAAGCGUGGACGCCAGUUCGCGUGGAGCCAUCCUUGAAAUACCACCCUGGCAACUUUGAGGUUCUAACUCAGGUCCGUUAUCCGGAUCGAGGACAGUGUAUGGUGGGUAGUUUGACUGGGGCGGUCUCCUCCUAAAGAGUAACGGAGGAGUACGAAGGUGCGCUCAGACCGGUCGGAAAUCGGUCGUAGAGUAUAAAGGCAAAAGCGCGCUUGACUGCGAGACAGACACGUCGAGCAGGUACGAAAGUAGGUCUUAGUGAUCCGGUGGUUCUGUAUGGAAGGGCCAUCGCUCAACGGAUAAAAGGUACUCCGGGGAUAACAGGCUGAUACCGCCCAAGAGUUCAUAUCGACGGCUGUGUUUGGCACCUCGAUGUCGGCUCAUCACAUCCUGGGGCUGAAGCCGGUCCCAAGGGUAUGGCUGUUCGCCAUUUAAAGUGGUACGCGAGCUGGGUUUAGAACGUCGUGAGACAGUUCGGUCCCUAUCUGCCGUGGACGUUUGAGAUUUGAGAGGGGCUGCUCCUAGUACGAGAGGACCGGAGUGGACGAACCUCUGGUGUUCCGGUUGUCACGCCAGUGGCAUUGCCGGGUAGCUAUGUUCGGAAUAGAUAACCGCUGAAAGCAUCUAAGCGGGAAACUAGCCUCAAGAUGAGAUCUCACUGGAGCCUUGAGCUCCCUGAAGGGCCGUCGAAGACUACGACGUUGAUAGGUUGGGUGUGUAAGCGCUGUGAGGCGUUGAGCUAACCAAUACUAAUUGCCCGUGAGGCUUGACCAU